RNAcentral lists this ribosomal RNA (681 nucleotides) under Clostridioides difficile. RNAcentral's name for it is "partial 23S ribosomal RNA". It matches the Rfam family "Bacterial large subunit ribosomal RNA", at positions 1538 to 2231 of the family's 2925-position model. The record is from RNAcentral. Lineage: Bacteria; Bacillati; Bacillota; Clostridia; Peptostreptococcales; Peptostreptococcaceae.
AAAUCCGCUUUGAUAAUGCUGGGAUGUGAUGGGGAGCGAAAUUUAGUAGCGAAGUAGCUGAUUUCACACUGUCAAGAAAAGUCUCUAUCGAGGUUAAAGGUACCCGUACCGCAAACCGACACAGGUGGGUGAGGAGAGUAUCCUAAGGCCAGCGAGAGAACUGUUGUUAAGGAACUCGGCAAAAUGACCCCGUAACUUAGGGAUAAGGGGUGCCACCAUCAGGUGGCCGCAGAGAAUAGGCCCAAGCGACUGUUUACCAAAAACAUAGGUUUCUGCUAAGUCGCAAGACGAUGUAUAGGAGCUGACGCCUGCCCGGUGCUGGAAGGUUAAGGGGAUCUGUUAGAGCAAUCGAAGCAGUGAACUUAAGCCCCAGUAAACGGCGGCCGUAACUAUAACGGUCCUAAGGUAGCGAAAUUCCUUGUCGGGUAAGUUCCGACCCGCACGAAAGGCGUAACGAUUUGGGCACUGUCUCAACAACAGACUCGGUGAAAUUGUAAUUCCGGUGAAGAUGCCGGAUACCUGCGACAGGACGGAAAGACCCCAUGGAGCUUUACUGUAGCUUGACAUUGGGUCUUGGUACUACAUGUACAGGAUAGGUGGGAGGCUUUGAAACCAGGACGCCAGUUUUGGCGGAGCCAUCCUUGGGAUACCACCCUUGUAGUACUGGGACUCUAACCAUAG